This 465-nucleotide ribosomal RNA is filed under the name uncultured Klebsiella sp. RNAcentral describes it as "bacterial SSU rRNA". It matches the Rfam family "Bacterial small subunit ribosomal RNA", at positions 338 to 795 of the family's 1533-position model. The record is from RNAcentral. Lineage: Bacteria; Pseudomonadati; Pseudomonadota; Gammaproteobacteria; Enterobacterales; Enterobacteriaceae.
CCUACGGGUGGCAGCAGUGGGGAAUAUUGCACAAUGGGCGCAAGCCUGAUGCAGCCAUGCCGCGUGUGUGAAGAAGGCCUUCGGGUUGUAAAGCACUUUCAGCGGGGAGGAAGGCGGUGAGGUUAGUAACCUCAUCGAUUGACGUUACCCGCAGAAGAAGCACCGGCUAACUCCGUGCCAGCAGCCGCGGUAAUACGGAGGGUGCAAGCGUUAAUCGGAAUUACUGGGCGUAAAGCGCACGCAGGCGGUCUGUCAAGUCGGAUGUGAAAUCCCCGGGCUCAACCUGGGAACUGCAUUCGAAACUGGCAGGCUAGAGUCUUGUAGAGGGGGGUAGAAUUCCAGGUGUAGCGGUGAAAUGCGUAGAGACCUGGAGGAAUACCGGUGGCGAAGGCGGCCCCCUGGACAAAGACUGACGCUCAGGUGCGAAAGCGUGGGGAGCAAACAGGAUUAGAUACCCUAGUAGUC